AUCGAACGCUGGCGGCAGGCCUAACACAUGCAAGUCGAACGAGUGGCGGACGGGUGAGGACUGUCUGGGAAACUGCCCGUUGGCGGGGGAUAACUACUGGAAACGGUAGCUAAUACCGCAUACCAUCGGAUGUGCCCAGAUGGGAUUGGCUUGUAGGUGAGGUAACGGCUCACCUAGGCGACGAUCCCUAGCUGGUCUGAGAGGAUGACCAGCCACACGGGAACGGAGCCACGGUCCAGACUCCUACGGGAGGCAGCAGUGGGGAAUAUUGCACAAUGGGCGCAAGCCUGAUGCAGCCAUGCCGCGUGUAUGAAGAAGGCCUUCGGGUUGUAAAGUACUUUCAGCGGGGAGGCGUUACCCGCAGAAGAAGCACCGGCUAACUCCGUGCCAGCAGCCGCGGUAAUUC
This 406-nucleotide ribosomal RNA is filed under the name uncultured bacterium. Its description in RNAcentral is "partial 16S ribosomal RNA". It matches the Rfam family "Bacterial small subunit ribosomal RNA", at positions 30 to 526 of the family's 1533-position model. The record is from RNAcentral.